RNAcentral lists this ribosomal RNA (622 nucleotides) under Vibrio sp. HR08-36. RNAcentral describes it as "bacterial SSU rRNA". It matches the Rfam family "Bacterial small subunit ribosomal RNA", at positions 57 to 660 of the family's 1533-position model. The record is from RNAcentral. Lineage: Bacteria; Pseudomonadati; Pseudomonadota; Gammaproteobacteria; Vibrionales; Vibrionaceae.
GCAGUCGAGCGGAACGAGUUGUCUGANCCUUCGGGGAACGACAACGGCGUCGAGCGGCGGACGGGUGAGUAAUGCCUGGGAAAUUGCCCUGAUGUGGGGGAUAACCAUUGGAAACGAUGGCUAAUACCGCAUAAUAGCUUCGGCUCAAAGAGGGGGACCUUCGGGCCUCUCGCGUCAGGAUAUGCCCAGGUGGGAUUAGCUAGUUGGUGAGGUAAAGGCUCACCAAGGCGACGAUCCCUAGCUGGUCUGAGAGGAUGAUCAGCCACACUGGAACUGAGACACGGUCCAGACUCCUACGGGAGGCAGCAGUGGGGAAUAUUGCACAAUGGGCGCAAGCCUGAUGCAGCCAUGCCGCGUGUGUGAAGAAGGCCUUCGGGUUGUAAAGCACUUUCAGCAGUGAGGAAGGGUGUGUAUUUAAUAGAUGCACAUUUUGACGUUAGCUGCAGAAGAAGCACCGGCUAACUCCGUGCCAGCAGCCGCGGUAAUACGGAGGGUGCGAGCGUUAAUCGGAAUUACUGGGCGUAAAGCGCAUGCAGGUGGUUUGNNNNGUCAGAUGUGAAAGCCCGGGGCUCANCCUCGGAACUGCNUUUGAAACUGGCAGGCUAGAGUACUGUANAGGGGG